This 447-nucleotide ribosomal RNA is filed under the name uncultured bacterium. RNAcentral describes it as "bacterial SSU rRNA". It matches the Rfam family "Bacterial small subunit ribosomal RNA", at positions 355 to 825 of the family's 1533-position model. The record is from RNAcentral.
UGGGGAAUAUUGGACAAUGGGCGCAAGCCUGAUCCAGCCAUGCCGCGUGAGUGACGAAGGCCUUAGGGUUGUAAAGCUCUUUUGGCGGGGAAGAUAAUGACGGUACCCGCAGAAUAAGCUCCGGCUAACUUCGUGCCAGCAGCCGCGGUAAUACGUAGGGACCAAGCGUUGUUCGGAUUUACUGGGCGUAAAGGGCGCGUAGGCGGCAAUUCAAGUCAUCUGUGAAAUCUCCGGGCUUAACUCGGAACGGUCAGAUGAUACUGCUUUGCUAGAGUGCAGAAGGGGCAAUCGGAAUUCUUGGUGUAGCGGUGAAAUGCGUAGAUAUCAAGAGGAACACCUGAGGUGAAGACGGGUUGCUGGGCUGACACUGACGCUGAGGCGCGAAAGCCAGGGGAGCAAACGGGAUUAGAUACCCAAGUAGUCCCUGAGCGGGCUGGCAAGGCGCAU